Molecule: ribosomal RNA, 424 nt
Filed under: uncultured bacterium
Lineage: Bacteria
Description: bacterial SSU rRNA
Rfam family: Bacterial small subunit ribosomal RNA
Source: RNAcentral
UGGGGAAUAUUGGACAAUGGGCGAAAGCCUGAUCCAGCAAUGCCGCGUGGGUGAAGAAGGUCUUCGGAUUGUAAAUCCCUUUCGGCGGGGACGAUGAUGACGGUACCCGCAGAAGAAGCUCCGGCUAACUUCGUGCCAGCAGCCGCGGUAAUACGAAGGGGGCUAGCGUUGCUCGGAAUGACUGGGCGUAAAGGGCGCGUAGGCGGUUCGUACAGUUGGGUGUGAAAUUCCUGGGCUUAACCUGGGGGCUGCACCCAAUACGUGCGGGCUUGAGUGUGGAAGAGGGUCGUGGAAUUCCCAGUGUAGAGGUGAAAUUCGUAGAUAUUGGGAAGAACACCGGUGGCGAAGGCGGCGACCUGGUCCAUUACUGACGCUGAGGCGCGAAAGCGUGGGGAGCAAACAGGAUUAGAUACCCCCGUAGUCC